Molecule: ribosomal RNA, 608 nt
Filed under: uncultured Bacteroidota bacterium
Lineage: Bacteria; Pseudomonadati; Bacteroidota
Description: bacterial SSU rRNA
Rfam family: Bacterial small subunit ribosomal RNA
Source: RNAcentral
GAGUUUGAUCCUGGCUCAGGAUGAACGCUAGCGGCAGGCCUAAUACAUGCAAGUCGAACGGUAAGGUCCAGCUUGCUGGACACACGAGUGGCGCACGGGUGAGUAACGCGUAUGCAACCUACCUUGAACUGGGGAAUAGCCCCGAGAAAUCGGGAUUAAUACUCCAUAAAUUCCAGCUUUCGCAUGUUAGCUGGAUUAAAGUUCCGACGGUUGGAGAUGGGCAUGCGUGACAUUAGUUUGUUGGUGAGGUAACGGCUCACCAAGACUACGAUGUCUAGGGGUUCUGAGAGGAUUAUCCCCCACACUGGUACUGAGACACGGACCAGACUCCUACGGGAGGCAGCAGUAAGGAAUAUUGGUCAAUGGACGCAAGUCUGAACCAGCCAUGCCGCGUGCAGGAUGACAGCCCUACGGGUUGUAAACUGCUUUUACACAGGAAGAAUCCCCUGUACGUGUACAGGGUUGACGGUACUGUAUGAAUAAGCAUCGGCUAACUCCGUGCCAGCAGCCGCGGUAAUACGGAGGAUGCAAGCGUUAUCCGGAUUCAUUGGGUUUAAAGGGGAGUUUGAUCCUGGCUCAGGAGUUUGAUCCUUACCAAGGCUUAAAUG